RNAcentral lists this ribosomal RNA (373 nucleotides) under uncultured bacterium. RNAcentral describes it as "bacterial SSU rRNA". It matches the Rfam family "Bacterial small subunit ribosomal RNA", at positions 523 to 898 of the family's 1533-position model. The record is from RNAcentral.
AUACGUAGGGGCAAGCGUUAUCCGGAAUUACUGGGUGUAAAGGGUGCGUAGGCGGUGAGGCAAGUCAGAUGUGAAAGCCCUAGGCUCAACUUAGGGACUGCAUUUGAAACUGCUUUACUAGAGUGCAGGAGAGGAAAGUGGAAUUCCUAGUGUAGCGGUGAAAUGCGUAGAUAUUAGGAGGAACACCAGUGGCGAAGGCGACUUUCUGGACUGUAACUGACGCUGAGGCACGAAAGCGUGGGGAGCGAACAGGAUUAGAUACCCUGGUAGUCCACGCUGUAAACGAUGAGUGCUAGGUGUUGGCCCGUAGAGGGUCGGUGCCGAAGUUAACACAUUAAGCACUCCACCUGGGGAGUACGAUCGCAAGAUUGAA